Long non-coding RNA from Sinocyclocheilus rhinocerous, 237 nucleotides. RefSeq lists it as uncharacterized. The record is from RefSeq and is a predicted model, not a curated record. The transcript has 3 exons. NCBI's taxonomy places the organism in Eukaryota, Metazoa, Chordata, Actinopteri, Cypriniformes, Cyprinidae.
AUCUCUUGGUUCUGUUCUGGUUCUGGGCCCACAGGCAGGACGAUUCGUCUGUGGAUGAUGAGAAGAGGAGGAAUUAUGGUGGAGUGUAUGUGGGCUUACCUGCAGACCUCAGCAAUGUGGCCACCGGACAAACACCCUCCACACACAAAGAAUAAUGAUAUUCAGAGCUGAAGGCACAGUAAAGGACUUUCCAGAGGGAAUCUUGGCUGAAAAUUGUUGCGUAAUAAUCUCAACAGG